GCCCCGGGGAACUGACAGCCACACUUUCAAGGGCUGAGCUGGAGCAGACUGAAUGGGAUAAACAAGCUAACGAGUGGACGUCACUUUGCUCGGUGCCUGGCACCCGGGAAACGCUUCAUAACCAUCAGCCACUAUUUCUCCCGUGGACUGAAAGCAGUUUCCAGCUGGGGUGACUGUGUUGGGUGCCCGAAAUGCCUCGAUCGGCAGCUGCCCAAAAAGAUGUACUCCAGGCCUGCUUCACGACCAUUACAUGGCUGGAGCCUGCAGGAGGGCCUGGGGCCGGCCUCUGCAGCUGGUGGUGUUCAUAAAAGCCUCCUUUUUGCUUGCUUUUCUGUGGCUAAUCCUGGGAGUAGAAUGCGCAGGCGAAGCCCUGGCAGAUGGAGAUGAAGAGAUGACAGUGCAGAGAAAUACCUGGAGGAAGGCUCCAUGGAAGGGACUCAGGGUCCAAAGCUAACACUAUGCCAUGAGCGUAUCUUGGAGCUGGAGGACACGAGGGGCUGACUGCAGAAGCUCCACAGAUCAGCCUGGAACAUUCACCAAGCCUCUGCCGUGUGCUACGCCAUAUUGCUUUCUUGCUCUGGGGAGCCUUCUUUCACUCUCCAAGGCCGGAUCACCUCUCUAGCAUCCCUGAAGCCUGCUCUCCCUUCCUUAACUUGAUCACCUCCAGAGAUGGGGUGCUCACUGCCUCACCUUGGUCUGGGGAGCUGAGAUGAUGCGCUCCUGCUUAAAUGUCACCACGUGCAGAUGAGAAGCACAAGGAAAAGAAUGUGUAUUUUUCAUCUGCCUUUUCCAAAUGCCAGGUUCCUAUUAGAGGAAUUGCUUCAUACGAUGGCAGAGGCUGACAAAUCCCAAAUCCGAAGGGCAGGCCAGCAGGCUGGAAGCUCAGCAACAUCUAGAAUAGCGUUUGACCAAAAGAACCAGUCAAGUCAACACACAAAAUUAACCAUCAUAUUUGCUAGUACAGUUUCUGUGGACCUCUGUUUCCCCAUCUGUUAACUGGAGAACAGACCCUUCUUGAUCUUCAAGCUUGUCCUCUGUGAAACGGGACUGAUGGACUGGGAGAGCCCGGAGGGCCUGUUUCCACUGGUCCAGAUGGCUGGAUUUCCCAAGGGUGUCUGCAUCCCCUAAGUGGGGCCUCAACUUGCUCUGACCUGGAAAAGAGAUGAGGAAACAGAGGCACAGAAAGUUUCUGACAAUCACCUAGCUUGCACAAAUAAGACACGCUGAAGCAGAGACUCUCACUCAGGCAGCCUUGCUCCGGGGCUGGUGCUCUGAACCCCGGGAGAAGCGCAUGGCCCACUGUGUAGAUUCAGCAGGUGAAAAUGUGCUCUGCAGCUCUGCUUCCUUUUUUUUUUUCAUGCUUGUGGAAUGUUCCGGAGUGUGGCUGUACCGUAGCUGAUACAUCUCGUUUCCCGCUGAUGAACAUGCAGCAGAGCGCGUUUCCCGGCUGGGAGCAGAAGAGGAAGCAGGAAGGUGUGAAGCAUGAAGAGGUUGGGGUAUGCCGUGCUGGUGUGAAGAUGGAGGGUCCACGUUGAGACGAAAACAAGUGGCCUCUCGAAGCUGAGAGCACCCCACAGCAGACAGCCAGCAACGAAUCGGGGGCAGCGUUCUGCCAGUAACAGGAAUGGGUGUGGAAGAGGAUCCUGAGCUCCGGAAAAGAACACAGCGGCCCAGAGACCCCUCGAUUUCAGUCUCAGCACGGUCUCCAGCCACACCAGGCUGAAGCUCUGACCUGGGGAGCUGGGAGCUGAUAGGGCCGGGUACCGGGGCUGGAACCCAAGGGAUCCAUAAUCUCACACGCUCAUGGCCAGAACCAACCUCCAGGUUCUAGGUUCUCAAAAGCUGCCGACUUCCUGGGAACCACGCAUCCCUCCUCCCUCCCGGGAGCCCAAAUUCCAAGAAAUGCAGCUAAAAUUGGCCCUCGAACAGCUUUUGCAGAGCACGUCGCAGCUUUUUUUGGGUCUAGAGAGCCAGUUUCCAUGAUGGAAGUGGCACAGAAGGAGAGACCCAGCUAAAAACAGCCACCGCCCAGAAUGGCUGUUCGCAGGAUGCCGCCUCCCCUGCCUCUUCGGGGGUUUGGAGACUUCACUUCCGCAGCAGCUGCCGCCCCCCCAAUCGCCACUAGGUGGCAGCAUCGCAGCGCGCGCGCCCCCGGGCCCCGGAGCCGCUCCUCAGGAUGAUGCCCAUAAAAUACGCACUGGCCGCAAAAAAUUAUUUCCCUUUUAUUGGGGGGCACUUGUUUGCAUUGCAGGAGCUCCGCGGAGGUGUGUCUUCUAAGGGCUGACCUAGUGCCGAGAGAAGCACCGCUGGAGACUUCUCCGAGCGCCCCCGUGUCCCUGCUGCAGGCCGCUCCCCGCACCAGCCCACCCGACUUAGUGGGUUCAUUAUGCCUCGGGUCCAACGUCAUAGCCGAAGUCUGGAAUUUUCCAGGAGAGGUGACCGAGCCUGGGGUGGGGGAAUGCACCCAUUUGGGGCUGGUGGUCCUGCCAUGGGAGGGGGGCGUGGCUUCCCUCUGUGGGCCUCAGGGAUGGAGUUUUGGCUCAAGAGUGUGGCUGCCUUGUUCUUCCGUCACCGUGUGGGGAACGGGGCCGUAGGGGAACCCACCGCCUGGGCCACAGCGAGGAGUAAAUGAGUCACAAUGUGAAUGGGACAGUGCCUGCCACAUCACAAGGACUCCAGUAUGAGCUACUUUUCAUAUUUCCUCAGCGUCCCCAGGGGCUGGUAUAAUGGCCAUCCCACAAGUAGUAGCCCAGUGGGUCUCACCGCCCUAGUCUUGGAGGCAAGAGGGGGAGGUGGGGAUCAGCUCCAAGGCCUUGAUUCUCAAAGCCUCUCCUGGGCCGGCAGCAGGCAACACAGUUGCGCUCCUUAGAAACGUGGAGUCUCGGCCCCACCCAAACCACGGAGCCAGACUCUUCCUUCACAGCACCCCCAGGGGCUUCGUGGCAUCCCGAGGUCGGAGGAACACGGCUCCUAGGCACCUUCCAGCCCUGGAGGGCUGGGAUUCCCUGCCCAGUCCUGGGUGAGUUCUGUCUCCCAGAUUCACAUCCAUCAGAAGAUCGACCAUCAGGCAAGCCCUGCGUUUGAGCCUUUCCUCCUGCUUUUCUGGAACGCUUUCUGCAGCUGCCUGGGUGCUCCGGUGUGACGGGGGUUGACAUGCUGCAGUGGGCCCGGCCGGGCUCCAUACACUCCCCCGAGCUCCCAGAUCUGGCUCACCUCCUGCCUACGGAUCCUGCUGCACCCUCCCCGGCCCCCGUGCCUGGCCACAGCAAUCCCCAUCAACCCGGUGACCCUGGGACCAGGAACCGACUUUGUCUCCUCUGACAUCCCCUUUCUGCCUGUCGUGACCCUCUCCACCUUGGAGGUGUGGAUCCAAAGCCGCUCCGCUGGGCAUUCCUCCUUCAGCAUUGACGGAGAACCUGCUGUGUGCCGGGAUGCUGCACGAGUUCCUGACCCAGGCUGCUUGGAUCAGAAGCACCUCCAGAGCUUUACGGUGACAGCUCAAGGCCCCUUGUUUUAUUUGUUUUUUUUUUUUUUUUAAAGAUUUUAUUUAUUUAUUUGAGAGAGAGAGAAUGAGAGAGAGCACAUGAGAGGGGGGAGUGUCGGGAGGGUCAGAAGGAGAAGCAGACUCCCCGCCGAGCAGGGAGCCCGACAUGGGACUCGAUCCCGGGACUCCAAGAUCAUGACCUGAGCCGAAGGCAGUCGCUUAACCAACUGAGCCACCCAGGCGCCCAAGGCCCCUUGUUUUAUUAUUGUGGUGUUUGGAUGGCAUGAGGCCCCCUGAUUCUCUAGCACUUAACCCAGCAGUAUCCGUCAUACACUGAGGGUCAUGGUCACAUGGUGAGGGUCACGCACUGUGGGUCCUUAUAGUCCAUUUGGGUGAACAAAUGAACUUCUCUCUUCCCCUGUGUCUGUUUCUGAGUUCUCACCCUGCGGUCUGGACUCCAUCUCCCCCCAUGCUUCCAGAUGCUUCUGGAAUCCUAUUUCAGGCCAGAUGCUACUUGUCAGUGCAUCUCAAACUUUCACAGGCACGAGAAUCACCCAAGAUCUUGUCAGAAUGCAGACGCAGAUUCUCUCGGUCUGGGAUGGAGCCCAAGACUCUGCAUUUCUAACACGUUCCAGUUGGUGCGAGCCCCUGGCCCACACUUUGAGCAACAGAGAUCAGUUCUCACUUCUGAUUUCACCCGAGAAUCCUUUGGGGGGUUUUGCAUGCUCAUGUCUGGGUCCUACCCCAGACCAACUGAACCAUGCAGAGGGGUGAGGUGGGGCCCCGUGUCUCCGGGUGAUUUCAAUGUGCAGUCACAACCACCAGCCUAGGAGCGUGUAGAUGCAGGCGGUCAGGUUCUACUCCAGAGCUACCUCGUCAGAAAUGCUAGGAGUGAGGCACGGGAACGACGAGAACCACGGCUGCCCUAGGAAUGCCUGACCUUGGCUUCACCCAUCAGCUCCUACCUGCUCUUCCUGCCUCUUCAUUCAUUCUUUAUUUGGCCUGGAUAGUACAGUUCCGGAAACGCCAAUUUGGGUGGCUCAGUUGGUUAAGUGUCUGCCUUUAGCUCAGGUCAUGCUCCCAUGGUCCUGCUCGGUGGAGAGCCUGCUUCUCCCUUUCCCUCUCCCUGCUGCUUUGCCUGCUUGUGCGCUCUCUCUCUGGCAAAUAAAUAAAAUCUUAAAAAAGAAAAAAAAGUGCCUGGUCUCAAAGGACAAAAGUCAAAGAAGGGGGUUCUUAUUGGACAGGUGCUCUGUUCUGCUGACCAAGGCAGAGGCUGACAUGAGGCCUUUUUUGUGAUCUGAAAAGAGUUUUCUGACCUUCUCCGUGCUAACUAGAAAGCCCGCUUCGGCAGAGCUCCCUAUUACCUUGCUACUGGAAAGUGUUUUGGGGGAAAAACUCUGGGCUCCUUUACCUCUUCCUCACAUUACCCUUCAAGCUGUUAGCAGACGUUUUGGGGGCACAAACAUAGGGAAAAGCCAUCCGCACCAUUCCACAGCCCCUAGCUUUGUUUCUCUACCACCCGUUAGCCCCAGGUGUUCAAAACCUUGUCCAUUCAUUGGAAUCACCAGGGAGCUUAUACAUAUGCUGACAUCUGGGUCCCAUGCCCAGGGAUUCUGUUUUAGUUGGUUUUGGGGGCAGCCUGGGCAUUUUUUUUUUUAAAGAACCCCACCCCCACUCCUGAUGAUCCCAGUGAAGAGCCAAGGAUUUGGCUAGAGACCUGCUCUUUGAGUCCAGAAAGCCUAUUUAAUAAGAGAUGGAAGAAUCGUUUGCUGUGCCUGAGAAAUUGGGGGCCUGGGUUCAGCUGCUUGAGCCCCAGCGCAGAUGCCAAUCAAACACAAAGCUGAGGAUCCAGAUCUUGGAGGUGUUCACGCAAGCCCACUGCCCAGGGGCAGUGGUUGGAUCUAGCAGAAACUGCAUCCCACACAUAUUUACUCUUUGGGUCUUUAAGGACACCAGGCCAGGUGUACUAUCUUGGUAUUUCAGACUAGCGAACCAGGGUUUGAAGAGCUUUCUAAAAGCUACCUUUCAACAAGAACUUCAACCUGUGCUAAGUGCUUUACAUGCAAUUCCUUAUUAAGUUAUUGCAUGAGAUAGAGACAAAUGAACCUGGAUUUCAGAUCCCUUUUAAAAAUAACCCCGGGGGCGCCUGGGUGGCUCAGUCGGUUAGGCGUCUGCCUUCGGCUCAGGUCAUGAUCCCAGGGUCCUGGGAUCGAGCCCCGCAUCGGGCUUCCUGCUCUGCGGGAAGCCUGCUUCUCCCUCUCCCACUCUCCCUGCUUGUGUUCCCUCUC
Long non-coding RNA from Mirounga angustirostris (Northern elephant seal), 5772 nucleotides. RefSeq lists it as uncharacterized. Lineage: Eukaryota; Metazoa; Chordata; Mammalia; Carnivora; Phocidae. The record is from RefSeq and is a predicted model, not a curated record. The transcript has 9 exons.